This 465-nucleotide ribosomal RNA is filed under the name uncultured bacterium. RNAcentral describes it as "partial 16S ribosomal RNA". It matches the Rfam family "Bacterial small subunit ribosomal RNA", at positions 28 to 507 of the family's 1533-position model. The record is from RNAcentral.
GACGAACGCUGGCGGCGUGCUUAACACAUGCAAGUCGAACGGAAAGGCCCCUUUGGGGGUACUCGAGUGGCGAACGGGUGAGUAACACGUGAGUAACCUGCCCUUGACUUCGGGAUAACUUCAGGAAACUGGGGCUAAUACCGGAUAGGAAUCCUUGCUGCAUGGUGGGGGUUGGAAAGCUUCGGCGGUUUUGGAUGGACUGGCGGCUUAUCAGCUUGUUGGUGGGGUAGUGGCUUACCAAGGCUUUGACGGGUAGCCGGCCUGAGAGGGCGACCGGCCACAUUGGGACUGAGAGACGGCCCAGACUCCGACGGGAGGCAGCAGUGGGGAAUAUUGCACAAUGGGCGGAAGCCUGAUGCAGCAACGCCGCGUGCGGGAUGACGGCCUUCGGGUUGUAAACCGCUUUCAGCAGGGGCGAAGCUUGUGGUGACGGUACCUGCAGAAGAAGCACCGGCUAACUACGUG